UACGAAGGUGGCUAGCGUUGUUCGGAAUUACUGGGCGUAAAGCGCACGUAGGCGGGUCGUUAAGUCAGGGGUGAAAUCCCGGAGCUCAACUCCGGAACUGCCUUUGAUACUGGCGACCUUGAGGCCGGAAGAGGUUAGUGGAAUUCCCAGUGUAGAGGUGAAAUUCGUAGAUAUUGGGAAGAACACCAGUGGCGAAGGCGGCUAACUGGUCCGGAUCUGACGCUGAGGUGCGAAAGCGUGGGGAGCAAACAGG
Molecule: ribosomal RNA, 253 nt
Filed under: uncultured bacterium
Lineage: Bacteria
Description: partial 16S ribosomal RNA
Rfam family: Bacterial small subunit ribosomal RNA
Source: RNAcentral